UACGGGGGGUGCAAGCGUUGAUCGGAUUGACUGGGCGUAAAGGGAGCGUAGGCGGUCGAAUAAGUCAGUUGUGAAAUUCCGGGGCUCAACCCCGGAGCUGCGACUGAAACUAUUUGACUAGAGGGUGGUAGGGGAAAACAGAAUUCUGCAUGUAGCGGUGAAAUGCGUAGAUAUGCAGAGGAAUACCGGUGGCGAAGGCGGUUUUCUGUACCAUUCCUGACGCUGAGGCUCGAAAGUGUGGGGAGCAAACAGG
Molecule: ribosomal RNA, 253 nt
Filed under: uncultured bacterium
Lineage: Bacteria
Description: partial 16S ribosomal RNA
Rfam family: Bacterial small subunit ribosomal RNA
Source: RNAcentral